Carlito syrichta (Philippine tarsier) is the source of this 437-nucleotide non-coding RNA. The record is from the annotation of a RefSeq genome assembly. Lineage: Eukaryota; Metazoa; Chordata; Mammalia; Primates; Tarsiidae.
AGACUGAUUAAUAGGCUGGUCACACCCAGUGCAAGAAUCAGUCCCAGUCAGAACACAGCAUGGACAUGAAGGCUCCUGCUCAGCUCCUGGGGCUCCUGCUUCUCUGGCUCCCAGGUGCCAGGUGCGACAUCCAGGUGACCCAGUCUCCAUCCUCCCUGUCUGCAUCUGUAGGAGAGAGAGUCACCAUCACUUGCCGUGCAAGUCAGAAUAUUAACAAUGAAUUAUCCUGGUAUCAACAGAAACCAAGGAAAGCCCCUAAGCUCCUGAUCUAUGCAGCAUCCACUUUGCAGUCUGGGGUCCCAUCGAGGUUCAGUGGCAGUGGAUAUGGGAAAGAUUUCACUCUCACCAUCAGCAGUCUGCAGUCUGAAGAUUUUGCAAUUUAUUACUGUCUACAGGAUUACAGUGCUGCUCCCACAGUGUUACAAGUCAUAACAUAA